CCGUGCAGCCGGGGAGAUAGCGGUGCCCUGUACCUGCAAUCCGCUCUAGCAGGGGUGAUGUCUCACCCAGGGCUGUCUAUUGCAGGGCUGCCCCUGAUAAGUGGCGAUGACGUUUGGGUCUCACGCAACAGAUCUUCAUGAACCGUGUCAGGGCAGGAAUGCAGCAGCACUAAGUGGAACCUUCUGUGUGCCGUGAGGGUGCCUGGACCGAGUUAACUGUCAGGGUAACGCCUGUGAUAGCGGUUCAAAGUGAGACGCACGG
Molecule: non-coding RNA, 262 nt
Rfam family: Bacterial large signal recognition particle RNA
About the family: The signal recognition particle (SRP) is a universally conserved ribonucleoprotein involved in the co-translational targeting of proteins to membranes.
Source: Rfam